Molecule: unclassified non-coding RNA, 234 nt
Filed under: uncultured Russula
Lineage: Eukaryota; Fungi; Basidiomycota; Agaricomycetes; Russulales; Russulaceae
Description: sequence contains ITS2
Source: RNAcentral
UAUCCUCAAACCUUCUUGGUUUCUUGACCGAGAAGGCUUUGGACUUUGGAGGCUUUUGCUGGCUUUCACUUAUUGAAGCCAGCUCCUCUUAAAUGAAUUAGUGGGGUCUGCUUUGCUAAUCCUUGAUGUGAUAAGAUGCUUCUACGUCUUGGGUUUUGCACUGAUUGCUAUAGAUCCUGCUUCUAACUGUCUUGAAGAAGACAAUGGUUGAGUGAUUGCCACUUGACCCAGAAA